Molecule: long non-coding RNA, 374 nt
Filed under: Musa acuminata (dwarf banana)
Lineage: Eukaryota; Viridiplantae; Streptophyta; Magnoliopsida; Zingiberales; Musaceae
Description: long non-coding RNA (MACU_LNC005617)
Source: RNAcentral
GUCGUCCUCCUCCUCCACUUCUUCUUCCUCGCCCUCCGGCUUCUUCAGCAGUGUCUUCCCUCCUCCUUCCACGGUACGUGGUGGUUGUUCUCGAUGAGCGAUCCCCUUGUUAUUAUGAGCUUUCCUUCUUCGAUUCCGGCUCUUCGGUGAUGGGUUUCACGACCUGUGUUGGGGUUUGUUUGUGGAUCUCGAGGCUUGGGAUUAUGCUAGGGUUGUGGAUCGAGUGCGUGCUUUUUUGCAGCUCGUGCGUCGAUCGACUCCUAAUUAAUCAAAUUUUUUUUUGUGGAAAUUGAAUCAAUCGUUCUCUGUGAUUGAAUCAAUCGUGCUCGUAAAGACGAACCCUAAACGAAUGAGUUCGAUCUACGUCGUUGCAG